GUGAGUAACACGUAGGUAAUCUGCCGUAGAGUGGGGGAUAACCCAUGGAAACAUGGACUAAUACCGCAUAUACUCUUGACGCUAAAGCGUAGUAGAGGAAAGGAGCAAUCCGCUUUACGAUGAGCCUGCGGCCUAUUAGCCUGUUGGUGAGAUAAAAGCCCACCAAAGCUACGAUAGGUAGCCGACCUGAGAGGGUGACCGGCCACAUUGGGACUGAGAUACGGCCCAGACUCCUACGGGAGGCAGCAGCUGAGAAUCUUCCACAAUGGACGAAAGUCUGAUGGAGCGACAUCGCGUGAGGGAUGAAGGCCUUCGGGUUGUAAACCUUGGAAAUUAUCGAAGAAUGAGUGACAGUAGAUAAUGUAAGCCUCGGCUAACUACGUGCCAGCAGCCGCGGUAAUACGUAGGAGGCAAACGUUGCUCGGAUUUACUGGGCGUAAAGGGUGAGUAGGCGGAACUAUAAGUCUAAGGUGAAAUAUCGAAGCUCAACUUCGGAAACGCCUCGGAUACUGUGGUU
RNAcentral lists this ribosomal RNA (517 nucleotides) under Brachyspira aalborgi. RNAcentral describes it as "bacterial SSU rRNA". It matches the Rfam family "Bacterial small subunit ribosomal RNA", at positions 106 to 640 of the family's 1533-position model. RNAcentral also lists the same sequence under 1 other name. Lineage: Bacteria; Pseudomonadati; Spirochaetota; Spirochaetia; Brachyspirales; Brachyspiraceae. The record is from RNAcentral.